Trichonephila clavata is the source of this 73-nucleotide non-coding RNA. The record is from the annotation of a GenBank genome assembly. NCBI's taxonomy places the organism in Eukaryota, Metazoa, Arthropoda, Arachnida, Araneae, Nephilidae.
GUUUCUGUAGCGCAAUUGGUAGGGCGUUGGACUUCUCAUCCAAUAGUCGUGGGUUCCAAUUCCACCUGGAAUG